This 124-nucleotide transfer RNA is filed under the name Penicillium chrysogenum. Its description in RNAcentral is "tRNA-Ser". It matches the Rfam family "tRNA". Rfam says of the family: Transfer RNA (tRNA) molecules are approximately 80 nucleotides in length. Their secondary structure includes four short double-helical elements and three loops (D, anti-codon, and T loops). RNAcentral also lists the same sequence under 2 other names. Lineage: Eukaryota; Fungi; Ascomycota; Eurotiomycetes; Eurotiales; Aspergillaceae. The record is from RNAcentral.
GGCGGUUUGGCCGAGUGGUCUAAGGCGAUUGACUAGAACGUUCUUGAGAUCAAGUUAAAUCUUGAAAUCAAGUAUCCUUAAUCAAUUCCGUUCGCGGGCGCAUGUUCGAAUCAUGCAGCCGUCG